AAACCAUGCACCGAAGCUGCGGCAGCGAACGUAUCACCCAAGACAACUUUACGGAGUUGACGAUUGACGGAGCGAAGCGACGUCAAAGCGUUCAUUAAAGUCGAGUUGGCUUAGGGAUACGUUCGUUGGGUAGGGGAGCGUUCUGUAAGCCUGUGAAGGUGUGUCGUGAGGCAUGCUGGAGGUAUCAGAAGUGCGAAUGCUGACAUAAGUAACGAUAAAGCGGGUGAAAAGCCCGCUCGCCGGAAGACCAAGGGUUCCUGUCCAACGUUAAUCGGGGCAGGGUGAGUCGACCCCUAAGGCGAGGCCGAAAGGCGUAGUCGAUGGGAAACGGGUUAAUAUUCCCGUACUUGGUGUUACUGCGAAGGGGGGACGGAGAAGGCUAUGUUGGCCGGGCGACGGUUGUCCCGGUUUAAGCGUGUAGGUGUGUGUUCCAGGUAAAUCCGGUUCACUUUAACACUGAGGCGUGACGACGAGGCACUACGGUGCUGAAGCAACAAAUGCCCUGCUUCCAGGAAAAGCCUCUAAGCAUCAGGUAACAUCAAAUCGUACCCCAAACCGACACAGGUGGUCAGGUAGAGAAUACCAAGGCGCUUGAGAGAACUCGGGUGAAGGAACUAGGCAAAAUGGUGCCGUAACUUCGGGAGAAGGCACGCUGACACGUAGGUGAAGUGAUUUACUCAUGGAGCUGAAGUCAGUCGAAGAUACCAGCUGGCUGCAACUGUUUAUUAAAAACACAGCACUGUGCAAACACGAAAGUGGACGUAUACGGUGUGACGCCUGCCCGGUGCCGGAAGGUUAAUUGAUGGGGUCAGCGCAAGCGAAGCUCCUGAUCGAAGCCCCGGUAAACGGCGGCCGUAACUAUAACGGUCCUAAGGUAGCGAAAUUCCUUGUCGGGUAAGUUCCGACCUGCACGAAUGGCGUAAUGAUGGCCAGGCUGUCUCCACCCGAGACUCAGUGAAAUUGAACUCGCUGUGAAGAUGCAGUGUACCCGCGGCAAGACGGAAAGACCCCGUGAACCUUUACUAUAGCUUGACACUGAACAUUGAGCCUUGAUGUGUAGGAUAGGUGGGAGGCUUUGAAGUGUGGACGCCAGUCUGCAUGGAGCCGACCUUGAAAUACCACCCUUUAAUGUUUGAUGUUCUAACGUGGACCCGUAAUCCGGGUUGCGGACAGUGUCUGGUGGGUAGUUUGACUGGGGCGGUCUCCUCCUAAAGAGUAACGGAGGAGCACGAAGGUUGGCUAAUCCUGGUCGGACAUCAGGAGGUUAGUGCAAUGGCAUAAGCCAGCUUGACUGCGAGCGUGACGGCGCGAGCAGGUGCGAAAGCAGGUCAUAGUGAUCCGGUGGUUCUGAAUGGAAGGGCCAUCGCUCAACGGAUAAAAGGUACUCCGGGGAUAACAGGCUGAUACCGCCCAAGAGUUCAUAUCGACGGCGGUGUUUGGCACCUCGAUGUCGGCUCAUCACAUCCUGGGGCUGAAGUAGGUCCCAAGGGUAUGGCUGUUCGCCAUUUAAAGUGGUACGCGAGCUGGGUUUAGAACGUCGUGAGACAGUUCGGUCCCUAUCUGCCGUGGGCGCUGGAGAACUGAGGGGGGCUGCUCCUAGUACGAGAGGACCGGAGUGGACGCAUCACUGGUGUUCGGGUUGUCAUGCCAAUGGCACUGCCCGGUAGCUAAAUGCGGAAGAGAUAAGUGCUGAAAGCAUCUAAGCACGAAACUUGCCCCGA
Molecule: ribosomal RNA, 1721 nt
Filed under: Salmonella enterica
Lineage: Bacteria; Pseudomonadati; Pseudomonadota; Gammaproteobacteria; Enterobacterales; Enterobacteriaceae
Also listed under: 1 other name
Description: partial 23S ribosomal RNA
Rfam family: Bacterial large subunit ribosomal RNA
Source: RNAcentral